UACGUAGGGUCCGAGCGUUGUCCGGAAUUAUUGGGCGUAAAGGGCUCGUAGGCGGUUUGUCGCGUCGGGAGUGAAGACUCAGGGCUCAACCCUGAGCGUGCUUCCGAUACGGGCAGACUAGAGGUAUGCAGGGGAGAACGGAAUUCCUGGUGUAGCGGUGGAAUGACGCAGAUAUCAGGAGGAACACCGGUGGCGAAGGCGGUUCUCUGGGCAUUACCUGACGCUGAGGAGCGAAAGCAUGGGGAGCGAACAGG
This 254-nucleotide ribosomal RNA is filed under the name uncultured bacterium. RNAcentral describes it as "partial 16S ribosomal RNA". It matches the Rfam family "Bacterial small subunit ribosomal RNA", at positions 524 to 776 of the family's 1533-position model. The record is from RNAcentral.